CAGAUAAAUUAUAGCAGCUGAUUGUAACUGACAAUGACAGCAGCAGAACACUUGAUAAUUAGACACCAGACACCUGAUGGUUAAAAACACUCCACAGCCGAUUAUAAUACACUGAACAACGAUAGCAAGACAACUGAAAGCAACUACUCUCCAAUGCCCGGAUUAUAUUAUUGUCUUGUGAUGACGUUGAUGCUGAUGAUGAUCUGUGUCUGAUACUUCAAUAGAGGGCGUGAUUGAAAAUAUUUGCCUUUUUUAUCAUAUGCACUUGCAGAAAAUGCGCGCGCAAAUAUUGGAAAUUUUAAAUUUAAAUGGCGGGAAAAUAAUCUAUUAUUAGAUAGUAAUGACUUUGGUGUAAAAAUAAUAGAGAUUAAAAUAAAGUUGAAGAGCAACUAUUGUUCGGGCGCGUUCAGGGCGGCCCCUUGCACAAGAAAAAUGAUGACAGCAAUUAAGGGAAGCCAUGGAGUCUUAGCAGG
Long non-coding RNA from Microplitis demolitor, 473 nucleotides. RefSeq lists it as uncharacterized. The record is from RefSeq and is a predicted model, not a curated record. The transcript has 4 exons. NCBI's taxonomy places the organism in Eukaryota, Metazoa, Arthropoda, Insecta, Hymenoptera, Braconidae.